AUUGAACGCUGGCGGCAGGCCUAACACAUGCAAGUCGAGCGGAUUUUGGGGGCUUGCUCCCAAGGUUAGCGGCGGACGGGUGAGUAACGCGUCGGAAUUUGCCCAGUAGUGGGGGAUAACGUUCCGAAAGGAACGCUAAUACCGCAUAGGCCCCAGGGGGGAAAGCAGGGGAUCUUCGGACCUUGCGCUAUUGGAGAAGCCUGCGUCGGAUUGGCUAGUUGGUAGGGUAAAGGCCUACCAAGGCGACGAUCCGUAGCUGGUCUGAGAGGAUGAACAGUCACACUGGGACUGAGACGCGGCCCAGACUCCUACGGGAGGCAGCAGUGGGGAAGAUUGGACAAUGGGGGCAACCCUGAUCCAGCCAUGCCGCGUGUGUGAAGAAGGCCUUCGGGUUGUAAAGCACUUUCAGUAGGGAGGAAAAGUUGGCGGCUAAUAUCCGUUGACCCUGACGUUACCUACAGAAGAAGCACCGGCAAACUCCGUGCCAGCCGCCGCCGUAA
This 500-nucleotide ribosomal RNA is filed under the name uncultured bacterium. Its description in RNAcentral is "partial 16S ribosomal RNA". It matches the Rfam family "Bacterial small subunit ribosomal RNA", at positions 29 to 523 of the family's 1533-position model. The record is from RNAcentral.